Mastomys coucha (southern multimammate mouse) is the source of this 616-nucleotide long non-coding RNA. RefSeq lists it as uncharacterized. The record is from RefSeq and is a predicted model, not a curated record. Lineage: Eukaryota; Metazoa; Chordata; Mammalia; Rodentia; Muridae. The transcript has 3 exons.
AGCGGUUUUAACAGCUGAGUUUCGAUUUCUCCUUAACCACCCGCUGGGUUCAGGGCCCACAGAGAACUUCCUCAUUCAUUCUCUAACUUUCUCACAGGUUAACUUCCGGGGCUGAGCCAGCUUUCAGCAAGGCUGAAGAACUGAGCUGGUUCACCCAGCUGCAGGAAUUGGACUUAGGUGAUCUGGCAUGGCAGAAAGCACCUUUGACAUGCCAGAAACCUGGGAUGAGGAGAGGCCCCAGAGGGACUCCCAGUGAAAGGAUAAGGACAGCGACCCACCCACAAAGCCUUCAGCCCCGCCCACAAGAUGUCUGAGACUAAGACAGAGCAGAGUCUGGGAGCAUGGCCAACCAAUGACUGCCAAACUGAGACCCAUCCCAUGGAAGUGCUACCUGAAACAACCCAAAAUUUCAUCCUCUCUCUUCUAAAAGUAGGGUGUUCUUCAAAGCCGUCUUGGAAAGCAGGCUGCUUUCUGGGGGUCACUUAACUGUGAUGCAUGGCCAGUCAAGACUCCUGCUUCAGGCAGCUUCCCUGAGCUUUACAGAAAAGCUCCUGACAGAGCUGAAGACUUCCGUCUUCGCUAUCUACUUGUAAAUAAUAAAUCUGUCUCACAUCAA